RNAcentral lists this ribosomal RNA (1196 nucleotides) under metagenome. RNAcentral's name for it is "SSU rRNA". It matches the Rfam family "Eukaryotic small subunit ribosomal RNA", at positions 483 to 1742 of the family's 1831-position model. The record is from RNAcentral.
AGCCCGUUCUCUUUGAGGUCGGGCAUUGGAAUGGAUGGAAUCUAAACAGUUCCAUGAGUAUCAACGAGAGGGCAAGUCUGGUGCCAGCAGCCGCGGUAAUUCCAGCUCUCGUAAUGUAUAGAAUUAUUGUUGCGGUUAAAAAGUUCGUAGUUGGAUUUUCUACCGUUCGGCGGUUGGGUUUAACGACUCAGACUGUCGGCGGUUUUUGCGCUAUGACUGGCUUGCUAGUCUUAGUGCGGAUUACUUUGAACGGCUUAAGUGCUCAAGGCGAGUCUUCGGACUGAAUACCGGUGCAUGGAAUAAUGGAACAAGGUCACGGCCGAGUUUUAUUGGUUUUGUCGGCUGAGACAAUGGUUAACAGGAACAGCUGGGGGCACUCGUAUCGCUGCGCGAGAGGUGAAAUUCGUGGACCGCAGCGAGACGCCCUAAAGCGAAGGCAUUUGCCAAGAGUGUUUUCAUUAAUCAAGAACGAAAGUCAGAGGUUCGAAGGCGAUUAGAUACCGCCCUAGUUCUGACCGUAAACGAUGCCAACUAUCAAUCCGCCAGUGGCUUUUAGUCAUUGGCGGGCGGAUCGACGGAAACGAAAGUUUUUCGGUUCCGGGGGAAGUAUGGUUGCAAAGCUGAAACUUAAAGGAAUUGACGGAAGGGCACCACCAGGAGUGGAGCUUGCGGCUUAAUUUGACCCAACACGGGAAACCUCACCCGGCCAGUACAUCAUAAGGAUUGACAGAUUGAAAGCUCUUUCAUGAUUUGAUGAAUGGUGGUGCAUGGCCGUUCUUAGUUCGUGGCGUGAGUCGUCUGCUUAAUUGCGAUAACGAGCGAGACUCCGACUGCUAAAUACUGUCUGGAUAAUUUCGUCCUUCACAGUUCUUAGCUGGAUUCGAGACUCCAAGUCUCAAGAAAUGGAGCAAUAACAGGUCUGUGAUGCCCUUAGAUGUUCGGGGCCGCACGCGUGCUACAAUGAUGGUAACAGCGUGAUUGUCCUCGCUCGACAGAGCUUGGCAAACAGUUGAGAUAUUAUUAUGGCUGGAAUUGAGUGUUGAAAUUUUCUCUCAUGAACGAGGAAUUCCAAGUAAAUGCGCGUCAUCAACGUGCAUUGAUUACGUCCCUGCCCUUUGUACACACCGCCCGUCGCUACCCGGGACUGAGUUGUUUCGAGAAAUCUACGGACCGAUUGUGCGUUGGCAACAACUCAC